AACGCACAUUGCGCCCUUUGGUAUUCCGAAGGGCAUGCCUGUUCGAGCGUCAUUUCGUCCAUCAAGCCCAGCUUGGUCUUGGGUGAGGUAGCAUUACCCACCUGCAACUCAUUCGCGAAAGUGGUCAGGUCUCGGCGUAGCAAGUUCUCGCUUUGGAUCUUCCAUCUUUUCUUGAUCGAAAUUUUGACCUCGGAUCAGGUAGGAAUACCCGCUGAACUUAA
This 221-nucleotide unclassified non-coding RNA is filed under the name uncultured fungus. Its description in RNAcentral is "sequence contains ITS2". The stretch from base 1 to 52 matches the Rfam family "5.8S ribosomal RNA", at positions 103 to 154 of the family's 154-position model. Lineage: Eukaryota; Fungi. The record is from RNAcentral.